GAGCCUACGGGACGCAGCAGUGGGGAAUAUUGCACAAUGGGGGAAACCCUGAUGCAGCAACGCGGCGUGAAGGAAAACGGUUUUCGGAUUGUAAACUUCUAUCAAUAGGGAAGAAAGAAAUGACGGUACCUAAAUAAGAAGCCCCGGCUAACUACGUGCCAGCAGCCGCGGCAAUACGUAGGGGGCAAGCGUUAUCCGGAAUUACUGGGUGUAAAGGGUGAGUAGGCGGCAAGGUAAGCGAUAUGUGAAAGCCUUAAGCUUAACUAAAGGAUUGCAUAACGAACUAUCUAGCUAGAGUACAGGAG
RNAcentral lists this ribosomal RNA (305 nucleotides) under uncultured bacterium. RNAcentral's name for it is "bacterial SSU rRNA". It matches the Rfam family "Bacterial small subunit ribosomal RNA", at positions 334 to 654 of the family's 1533-position model. The record is from RNAcentral.